UAAGGAAUAUUGGUCAAUGGGCGGAAGCCUGAACCAGCCAUCCCGCGUGCAGGAUGAAUGCCCUAUGGGUUGUAAACUGCUUUUAUCUGGGAAUAAACCACUCUAUUUAUGGGGUGUUGAAGGUACCAGAAGAAUAAGCACCGGCUAACUCCGUG
RNAcentral lists this ribosomal RNA (155 nucleotides) under uncultured bacterium. Its description in RNAcentral is "partial 16S ribosomal RNA". It matches the Rfam family "Bacterial small subunit ribosomal RNA", at positions 355 to 507 of the family's 1533-position model. The record is from RNAcentral.